GCGGGGGUAGCCGAGCUGGCCAAAGGCGCAGGACUUAAGAUCCUGUUCCGCAGGGAUACGUGGGUUCGAAUCCCACCCCCCGCA
RNAcentral lists this transfer RNA (84 nucleotides) under Methanomicrobia archaeon. It matches the Rfam family "tRNA". Rfam says of the family: Transfer RNA (tRNA) molecules are approximately 80 nucleotides in length. Their secondary structure includes four short double-helical elements and three loops (D, anti-codon, and T loops). The record is from Rfam by way of RNAcentral. Lineage: Archaea; Methanobacteriati; Methanobacteriota; Methanomicrobia.